This 491-nucleotide ribosomal RNA is filed under the name uncultured bacterium. RNAcentral describes it as "partial 16S ribosomal RNA". It matches the Rfam family "Bacterial small subunit ribosomal RNA", at positions 29 to 506 of the family's 1533-position model. The record is from RNAcentral.
AGUGAACGCUGGCGGUAGGCCUAACACAUGCCAGUCGAACGGCAGCACAGUAAGGGCUUGCUCUUACGGGUGGCGAGUGGCGGACGGGUGAGGAAUACAUCGGAAUCUACUUUUUCGUGGGGGAUAACGUAGGGAAACUUACGCUAAUACCGCAUACGACCUACGGGUGAAAGCAGGGGAUCUUCGGACCUUGCGCGAUUGAAUGAGCCGAUGUCGGAUUAGCUAGUUGGCGGGGUAAAGGCCCACCAAGGCGACGAUCCGUAGCUGGUCUGAGAGGAUGAUCAGCCACACUGGAACUGAGACACGGUCCAGACUCCUACGGGAGGCAGCAGUGGGGAAUAUUGGACAAUGGGCGCAAGCCUGAUCCAGCCAUACCGCGUGGGUGAAGAAGGCCUUCGGGUUGUAAAGCCCUUUUGUUGGGAAAGAAAAGCAGCAGGUUAAUACCCCGCUGUUCUGACGGUACUCAAAGAAUAAGCACCGGCUAACUUCGU